Gasterosteus aculeatus aculeatus (three-spined stickleback) is the source of this 5838-nucleotide long non-coding RNA. The record is from Ensembl. NCBI's taxonomy places the organism in Eukaryota, Metazoa, Chordata, Actinopteri, Perciformes, Gasterosteidae.
AGGAUACCCACCACGAGAUGGUCACAAGCAGUGGUUUCACUGAGUUGUGCCUGAUCGCUAAGAUCCAACAAACGGAGGAUACCAUCCCCAAAGAACAUCAGAUCCUUAUCACCAGGAUCCAAGAAUUAGAGGACAACAAAACACUCCUGGAAAACAUCUGCAUGUACUUAAAUAAAUAUAAAUAAUAAGACCGGCAGACGGAGAUGGACAAAAUGAGGCAUAAGAUGCAGGACAAGGAGAUAAAGAAAUAGGAGAGAGAAGAAAAAGCAGACCAUCCAGGACGUCAACAUCAACGUGCCUGAGACUGGACACCUGUAAGAACACCUUCCUUCACCUCCCACUCCAUCCUACCUCAUCUAUCUACCCUGAAAAAAAAAAAUCUAAAAAAAAAAAAAAAAGAGAUCUGAAAAAAAAGAGAUCUAAAUAAGAAAGAUCUAAAAAAAAAAAAAGAUCCCAGAGGGAUUCUCUGGCUGCUUAUUUUUUUUACAACCUAAUCAGGUUUGCACAUUUCCCUUACCUCAUUUCUGCCUUAUUUUUAUUUCAUGUACAUUUAUUUAAAUAUUGUUUUGUUAUUUUUUAUUUUUUAAUUGGUCGGCUUUAAUUAACUGUACUGUUAAUUUAUAUUGCACACAUUUCAUUUCUUUUUUUUUUACAACCUGCCGAGAGGAUACCCACCACGAGAUGGUCACAAGCAGUGGUUUCACUGAGUUGUGCCUGAUCGCUAAGAUCCAACAAACGGAGGAUACCAUCCCCAAAGAACAUCAGAUCCUUAUCACCAGGAUCCAAGAAUUAGAGGACAACAAAACAGUCCUUGAAAACAUCUGCCUGUACUUAAAAAAAAAAAAAAAAAAAAGACCGGCAGACGGAGAUGGACAAAAUGAGGCAUAAGAUGCAGGACAAGGAGACAAAGAAAUAGGAGAGAGAAGAAAAAGCAGACCAUCCAGGACGUCAACAUCAACGUGCCUGAGACUGGACACCUGUAAGAACACCUUCCUUCACCUCCCACUCCAUCCUAUCUCAUCCAUCUACCCUGAAAAAAAAAUUCUGAAAAAAGAAUACCAUCCCCAAAGAACAUCAGAUCCGUAUCACCAGGAUCCAAGAAUUAGAGGACAACAAAACAGUCCUUGAAAACAUCUGCCUGUACUUAAAAAAAAAAAAAAAAGACCGGCAGACGGAGAUGGACAAAAUGAGGCAUAAGAUGCAGGACAAGGAGACAAAGAAAUAGGAGAGAGAAGAAAAAGCAGACCAUCCAGGACGUCAACAUCAACGUGCCUGAGACUGGACACCUGUAAGAACACCUUCCUUCACCUCCCACUCCAUCCUACCUCAUCCAUCUACCCUGAAAAAAAAGAAAUUUAAAAAAAACUAAAAAAGAUCUAAAAAAAAAAAAAAAAAAAAAACAAGAUCUGAAAAAAAAGAGAGAUCUAAAUAAGAAAGAUCUAAAAAAAAAAAAAAUAUCCCAGAAGGAUUCUCUGGCUGCUUAUUUUUUUUACAACCUAAUCAUGUUUGCACAUUUCCCUUACCUCAUUUUCAUUUCAUGUACAUUUAUUUAAAUAUUGUUUUGUUAUUUUUUAAUUUUUUAAUUGGUCGGCUUUAAUUAACUGUACUAUUAAUUUAUAUUGCACACAUUUAAUUUCAUUUUUUUUUUACAACCUGCCGAGAGAAUACCCACCACGAGAUGGUCACAAGCAGUGGUUUCACUGAGUUGUGCCUGAUCGCUAAGAAUUAGAGGACAACAAAACAGUCCUUGAAAACAUCUGCAUGUUCUUAAAAAAAAAAAAAAAAGACCGGCAGACGGAGAUGGACAAAAUGAGGCAUAAGAUGCAGGACAAGGAGAUAAAGAAAUAGUAGAGAGAAGAAAAAGCAGACCAUCCAGGACGUCAACAUCAACGUGCCUGAGACUGGACACCUGUAAGAACACCUUCCUUCACCUCCCACUCCAUCCUACCUCAUCUAUCUACCCUGAAAAAAAAAAAUCUAAAAAAAAAAAAAAAAGAUCUAAAAAAAAAAAAAAAAAAAAAGAGAUCUGAAAAAAAAGAGAUCUAAAUAAGAAAGAUCUAAAAAAAAAAAAAGAUCCCAGAGGGAUUCUCUGGCUGCUUAUUUUUUUUACAACCUAAUCAGGUUUGCACAUUUCCCUUACCUCAUUUCUGCCUUAUUUUUAUUUCAUGUACAUUUAUUUAAAUAUUGUUUUGUUAUUUUUUAUUUUUUAAUUGGGCGGCUUUGAUUAACUGUACUGUUAAUUUAUAUUGCACACAUUUCAUUUCAUUUUUCUCUGACAACCUGCCGAGAGGAUACCCACCACGAGAUGGUCACAAGCAGUGGUUUCACUGAGUUGUGCCUGAUCGCUAAGAUCCAACAAACGGAGGAUACCAUCCCCAAAGAACAUCAGAUCCUUAUCACCAGGAUCCAAGAAUUAGAGGACAACAAAACAGUCCUUGAAAACAUCUGCAUGUACUUAAAAAAAAAAAAAAAAAGACCGGCAGACGGAGAUGGACAAAAUGAGGCAUAAGAUGCAGGACAAGGAGACAAAGAAAUAGGAGAGAGAAGAAAAAGCAGACCAUCCAGGACGUCAACAUCAACGUGCCUGAGACUGGACACCUGUAAGAACACCUUCCUUCACCUCCCACUCCAUCCUAUCUCAUCCAUCUACCCUGAAAAAAAAAUUCUGAAAAAAAGAAUACCAUCCCCAAAGAACAUCAGAUCCGUAUCACCAGGAUCCAAGAAUUAGAGGACAACAAAACAGUCCUUGAAAACAUCUGCCUGUACUUAAAAAAAAAAAAAAAAGACCGGCAGACGGAGAUGGACAAAAUGAGGCAUAAGAUGCAGGACAAGGAGACAAAGAAAUAGAAGAGAGAAGAAAAAGCAGACCAUCCAGGACGUCAACAUCAACGUGCCUGAGACUGGACACCUGUAAGAACACCUUCCUUCACCUCCAACUCCAUCCUACCUCAUCCAUCUACCUUGAAAAAAAAGAAAUUCUGAAAAAAACUCAAAAAGAUCUAAAAAAAAAAAAAAGAAAGAGAUCUGAAAAAAGAGAUCUAAAUAAGAAAGAUCUAAAAAAAAAAAAAAGAUCCCUCUCUGGCUGCUUAUUUUUUUUUACAACCUAAUCAGGUUUGCACAUUUCCCUUACCUCAUUUCUGCCUUAUUUUGUACAUUUAAGUAAAUAUUGUUUUGUUAGUUUUUAUUUUUUUAUUGGUCAGCUUUAAUUAACUGUACUGUUAAUUUCUAUUGCACACAUUUCAUUUCAUUUUUUUUUUACAACCUGCCUAGAGGAUACCCACCACGAGAUGGUUACAAGCAGUGGUUUCACUGAGUUGUGCCUGAUCUCUAAGAUCCAACAAACAGAGGAUACUAUCCCCAAAGAACAUCAGAUCUUAAUCCCCAGGAUCCAAGAAUUAGAGGACAAAAGAGUCCUUGAAUACAUCUGCAUGUACUUAAAAAAAAAAAAAAAAAGACCGGCAGACGGAGAUGGACAAAAUGAGGCGCAAGAUACAGGACAAGGAGACAAAGAAAUAGGAGAGAGAAGAGAAGAAAAAGGAGACCAUCCGGGACGUCAACAUCAACGUGCCUGAGACAGGACACCUGUAAGAACACCUUCCUUCACCUCCCACUCCAUCCUACCUCAUCCUUCUCAAAUAACAAUAAAGGAAAUGUUUACCCCAAUCUGCUGUCUACUGGUUAUCACUAGAUUGUACUUACAGACCAACUUAUUUUACUGUUCACUACAGUGAUUCACUUAUUUUCACUUAUUACACAUGUAGACAUUAGUAAUUGAAAUAUAUUAACUUGGUUGUUGUUGUUGUUCCUGUUUAUGUUGCUGCUGCUUUUCCAUGAUGUUGAGUACAAUCUUCUCAAUAGAAGCUUGUGUCAGCAUCUGAACAGGUGGAGGUGGGUGAACAAUAGCAACAGACAUCGUAACAACUGGCACACUAGUGGUCUCACUCACCUCUGUCAGAGAGUUUCUGCCUCUCUUACAGUUUUUCUGGACUGACGUUUAAAGAGGAACUGGUGUUCAACAAUUUGCUGAGGUGCUUUACAUAUUGUAGAAUAUGUAGUUUUGUUGUUGGGUGGAGCAUGCUGUUGGGGUCUGUACAGGAGUUGUGAACUAGAGCAGCGUAGUCCUGGUCCACAAGCUUCAGUGUGUCUUUCUGCUCACGGGGUUUGUUGAGCAGCUGGUCGAUAACUGCCAGCGACGGCGGACGUGGAGUUUCUACAGGAACAAAAGACUGAGUAUAAUAAGUCAUUCUGACCUAUAGAAUCAAAUACUUGUAUAAUAAAUAUAAACUUUCAUUAAAAUCUCAUGAAAGACUGGUAUUUGUAUGUGAAUGUUUAUUCAAUAACACCCUAAAUAUAUUUUCACAUCUUGUAAAAAAAUGGAAAAGUGACACAAACGUAUGGAGAAAACUGGAACAACCUUGAUGGUGCCAGUGAGGAUGACAGAGGAACCUCCGACUCGGUGGCGAGUGGAUCACUUUGAGGAGGUGGAUUCGGGGCCUGGGUGUGAUCUGUCUUGCUGUAUAUAUUGAUAUUAUUUACCUGUCUACCCACUGUUAUUGUGCCCAUACCUUAUGCAGUCUCCAUUGAUGCCUAAUAAACAUUGAUACAAGUAGGCUAUGGUUAAAGUGGUGAACUUAUAAAGUCUUAAAAGUUUUGUUUUCCCUUCUCAACACAUUAUGCAUUUGAAGGUGGAGUAAGCAAGAGUUUUUUUUAUAUAUAUACACACUGUUACGGCUGUCACCGUGGUCUGUAUUUCUGUCUUGUCUGUACCAAGUAGGCUGUGCGGCCCUGUGGACUGAAGCCCCGCCUACUUCCUGGUUUCGGUGGAGCCCCACAGGUUCACUCCAGCUCCACCCAUUCGUCCACCCUGUCCCAGCGCGCCCAAUGGCAGGUCACCAUCGCAGCCUUACCUCCAGCUCUUAAGGAGAGCCCACCAGUGGCUCGGGGUGGCUUGUCUUGGCCAGUGGACUUGUGUGCCUUCUGUGUUUGUAAUUGAGUGCAACUGGGUAGAGAACUGUGCUUUGGUUCUGUGUGUUUUUGCCAGCACGGAGCUGACAAAAGGGGGUGAGUUAGGGCCAGAGUCUAUACUGAUUUCACCACACGUAGUUCUGUGUUUGUUAGCUUCAUAGGUGUAGUGGGUGCUGUGCUCUUUGUGUUUUUUAUGGUAAGCGCCUACUGUUUGUUUUAACGUAUAUUCAGGCAUAGUUCUCCUUUUGGGGAUCUCUUUUAUUUUACUUAGUUUGUCUUUUCACAGCACCCUCAUCCACCCUCCUUUUGUUUGUUGUUACGUGCCUGUUUACCUCUGGUUGCCAAUAAAUACUACCCUUUUACACCCGACCAGGUUCUGCCUAUAUGUUUAUGGUCCCCGCACCCCUAGACCAUCCAGGGGGUCGUAACACACACACAUUACGUUUUCUUGAGGUGCAAGGAAAUACAAAAAUGAAGAGAUUAGCAACAUGUUUUUGUACCAUUCAGGUUGCUUCCCAUUCCAGAACAUCUUUCAGAUGUGCAUUUUCACUUUUGAGAGACUGAACUUCAUUUCGCAACUCCUGCAAAUUUCUUUGCAUUUGUUCAAUUUUUUUUCUCUCCCACAUCUGUUCGUCCAGUUGCUUUCUAAAUUCAGCAGCACUCUAUGAGAAAGAGAAAUACAGAGAAGAACAACAGCUAAUUGUUAUAUAACUUUAACUUUUGUAAAUGGUUGAUUCUGAUUUUCUGGGAGGAUGUCAUAAGAAAUGUAAGAGGAAGGUAGCAAGACGUCUACGGCACAGACGUCUACACCACACACCGGAUGUCAUCAUUUAGGCUACCUUUUUCUUUGAGGCUGGUACUUUGUCGUCUUCA